Long non-coding RNA from Nerophis lumbriciformis (worm pipefish), 484 nucleotides. RefSeq lists it as uncharacterized. Lineage: Eukaryota; Metazoa; Chordata; Actinopteri; Syngnathiformes; Syngnathidae. The record is from RefSeq and is a predicted model, not a curated record.
GUUUGCAAUUAUCUCAUCACGUCUGCAGGAGAAGAAGUCUUCCACCCGAGACUUCAUGUGUCAUCUAAAUGAGCAUAAUUGUCGUGUUCCAGUCGCAAAGUUGUGGUGGUCGUAUUUCCCAGGAUGCAAAAGGGACGGCAGGAAGCAGCGUGCAGUAUCGACACCCCCGCUUGCCGUCCUCGCUGCCAUGGUUGCGGGCUCCGGCGCGAGCGGACGGCGAGUCGACACUCUGAAUAUCAAGCGGCUGAUUGCUUCUGUCACCCGGUGAACUGGGUCUCGCCAGAUGUGCUUGUCGGUCGGCGUCAGCAGCGGGGAUUUGUCCCCUGGGCGGACCGGCGUUUGUAAGGUUGGACAGACGGUCCAGAAACGGGAGGGAGGAGGCCGUCCUGCCACUCAUGUUGUCUUUUCCUCUUUUCGUCACUGUCGAGGGGACCGCCGAUGCCAGCGUCAGGCGGCUGCAGAGGCUCCUAUGUCAACCUAAACA